Mastomys coucha (southern multimammate mouse) is the source of this 633-nucleotide long non-coding RNA. RefSeq lists it as uncharacterized. NCBI's taxonomy places the organism in Eukaryota, Metazoa, Chordata, Mammalia, Rodentia, Muridae. The transcript is spliced from 4 exons. The record is from RefSeq and is a predicted model, not a curated record.
GAUCUUUGUAUCUUUGCAGUGGGAAGAGAUCGCAUGACUGGGUAUUCUCUGACUGCAUUUUUAUUUUGCAUAUGAAACAGUGAGAAUAAAGCCCAGGGGAGUUCAAACAGAGUGGCUUUUCUCCAAAUGCUACUUCCAGACACCUGGGAUACCCAUGUCUGUUCUUCAGUGUGUGCUCAGCUUUAUCUCCUGAGGUCAUACCCCCAGGCAGGUGAUGACUGAGCAUGGCAGGAGGGCUGUUGGGACUCUUUAAGUGAAUCCAGCAUCAUAUUGUCAUGGGAUCACUCAAAUAUCUUCAGACUCAGAUGUUUUUCCUACUGAAGUGCAUUGAAGUACUCAAGAUCAUAGGAGUGUAAUUAUCUGAAACUCUAUGCCAGAAGUCAGCACAUGCUUUCUGCAAAGGCCAAGAAGAUGGAUGUGUGGGAGACCAGCAUGGACCUUGUGAGAAAAUUAAUCCUUGGGAGCAUGAUAUGAAGGAGAAAGCUUCUGGGUCUACAUCCUACCAUUUUAUUUCUGAAUAUGAAAACCUUAUGCCAUAACUGUUUGGUGAUCUAGUAUGUGGGAUUUCAAACCCUGUCAUGGUCUACAUUGUGCCCCAGGUCCUGGCAUACAGUUCAAAUGAAGAAAAUGUUG